CCGUGCUAGGUGGGGAGGUAGCGGUUCCCUGUACUCGAACGUAUUUUUGUGAAGUCUGCCCGAAGCACGUAGUGUUUGAAGAUUUCGGUCCUAUGCAAUAUGAACCCAUGAACCAUGUCAGGUCCUGACGGAAGCAGCAUUAAGUGGAUCCUCAUAUGUGCCGUAGGGUAGCCGAGAUUUAGCUGUCGACUUCGGUAACGUUUAUGAUAUGCGUUCGAUACAAAGGUGCAUGG
RNAcentral lists this signal recognition particle RNA (233 nucleotides) under Staphylococcus epidermidis. Its description in RNAcentral is "signal recognition particle sRNA large type". It matches the Rfam family "Bacterial large signal recognition particle RNA". From Rfam's summary of the family: The signal recognition particle (SRP) is a universally conserved ribonucleoprotein involved in the co-translational targeting of proteins to membranes. Archaeal SRP consists of a 7S RNA and homologues of the eukaryotic SRP19 and SRP54 proteins. The record is from RNAcentral. Lineage: Bacteria; Bacillati; Bacillota; Bacilli; Caryophanales; Staphylococcaceae.